Molecule: long non-coding RNA, 1858 nt
Organism: Anolis carolinensis (green anole)
Lineage: Eukaryota; Metazoa; Chordata; Lepidosauria; Squamata; Anolidae
Exons: 3
Source: RefSeq, a predicted model, not a curated record
UGGAAUGGCUAGAGGCAGCAGAGAAGAAUAAUUAAGAAAGGAGGAGAAUAGAACAACAACAUCCUUCAAUUUUCGAAAAUUGUUACCAGUUGUGUGCAUCACAGAGCUUGCUCAUCCAUGCUGACAAUGUCAGACCAAGUUCACACAGUUUUCCCAUUUGGACUAGGCACCAGGCCUUUGGGAUUCUAAUUACAAAUAUAUCUUCAGUGUUGAUUGUGGUUCUUUUUCUCUGAGUUCUGUGUUGUAUCUAUAUCUUUCUUAGGAGCAUGACAGAUAUUUGGCACCAGGGCAUUCCCCAGCAGGAACACCAGACAUCCGUCACCAGGUGCAGAAUCUUAUUAUAGACCGCGGUGCUGCUAGUGGAUUCAGUAUGGGGUGGGGAACGUUUUUGGCUUAGUUUGCAUGGUCGACUGCAGUUUGUUAAAGUUGGCUUGAGUGUCAAAAUUUAAAACAGGCCUUGGCUUCAGAGUCACAUUUGCAGCGAGAGGCUUCUUGGAGUUCUGUGCAGGGGAAGCGUUCCUCUUUGAAGGUGCCAAGCCCUGAAACCUCUGAAAUGAUGACAGACUGGUCUGAAAUUGAACCCUGAAGGAUGGUUAAGAGAUGUGUGUGUCUGAAUUCUUCACCCAGUCCAAAAGCCACCAAGGAGAAGGAGGCUGCAAUUUGUGAUCUGAGCCAUUUAGAGUUGCUAAAUGUCAUUUGGAUCAUGGAAAUAUGAUCCACAAAUGGAAAUAAAGUCAUUGGUGACAUCUAGUUAGGUUGCAAGGCCAUACGCAAAAAAAAUGAAGACGUUAAUGGACUGGAAGUUUCAACCGCCAGUUGGAAGAGAAGAAAUCAGAAUGAUCCCUUCUGAACAUUUCUGGGCAAAUAAAUAAUACCAUAUCUGAACACUUAUGAAAAUCCCCAUUGAGAUGAAAGAGGCCAAACUCACUGUCGGGCACGUUGUGAUAUUUCAAGAGAGAUGCCCUUUUGUCCAAGGCAUCCUAUGUGGCAUCAACACCUAGGAGUAAGAAGUCUAUAUGAGAAUUCCAUCCAGAUUCACGGGACAUUUCUAAAAUUGAUUUUCACCAAUUUCCAUCAUCUUCAUUUUUAUCAUCAUCAUCAUCAUCAUUCCGUUUUUCCAAGCAGAAACAGAACUGUUCUAUUUUUCCAACCAGUUAAAUAUUAGCAGUGUUUUGUUUUGGUGCAAACACUUCUCUUUCCAUUAUUUACCCAUUAUUGAGUCAAUGUUAACAUUAAAAGAAAAAUGUUGGUUUUUGUUAUUUCACUUUGCUUAAUUUGACCUACAAUUUUGCCACCAGAGUGAAUGUGUCAUUAAUUAAUAACAAUUUUAGAAUUAAAUGAAUGCUGAGUUUCAUCUGAAGUCAAUCAUUUCAGCUAAAAAUAAAUUUAAUCAAGUUGCACCUUUACUCUAGAAAAUGUCUAAGUUAAUGAAUAACUUUUUUUUACUAAUUAGCUCUUUAGUUGGUAUAUGUUGCAGUUCAAAGUUUUUUCUCUAGUCUUUGUCACUGACUGGCUUUUGCUUGUCAGGGAUGGAGAGAGGGGGGUCUUUAUCUAAUUUAUAGAUAAUAUAAGGCUGGGUGGAUAGGAAUAAAUGUAAAUAAAGUAGAAAAUCUAACAGAAAUUUUUUAAAAUUAAAAUUCCACAGAAACUAAUGUAAAAUGUUACACCUCAGCCACCCAAACCACAGAUAUAGGAUGGAAGAUACUUGGCUCAACAAAUUAUGUUGCCAAAAACAACACCCCUUCCCAAUGAUUUCUAGUUCUCUAAGAGGACCAAAAUAAAAUGAAUGAUUUUUCUUCCCUUCUCCACCAAACUUCCAUGACUCUAGCAAAGAGCAAGACUGGAAGAAAGACCAACA